AAAUUAGAGUGCUCAAAGCAGGCUAAAAUGCCUGAAUAUUCGUGCAUGGAAUAAUAGAAUAGGAUGUCGAUCCUAUUUUGUUGGUUUUCGGGACUCGACAUAAUGAUAAAUAGGGACAGUCGGGGGCAUUUGUAUUCAAACGACAGAGGUGAAAUUCUUGGACCGUUUGAAGACAAACUACUGCGAAAGCAUUUGCCAAGAAUGUUUUCAUUAAUCAAGAACGAAAGUUAGAGGUU
RNAcentral lists this ribosomal RNA (236 nucleotides) under Arthropoda sp. MM01569. Its description in RNAcentral is "partial small subunit ribosomal RNA". It matches the Rfam family "Eukaryotic small subunit ribosomal RNA", at positions 763 to 998 of the family's 1831-position model. Lineage: Eukaryota; Metazoa; Arthropoda. The record is from RNAcentral.